CGGAAGAUCCAAGCGUUAUCCGGAAUUACUGGGCGUAAAGAGUUGCGUAGGUGGCAUAGUAAGUAGAUAGUGAAAUCCUGGGGCUCAACCCUUUAAACAUUAUCUAAACUGCUAAGCUAGAGGGCGAGAGAGGUAGCUAGAAUUCCUAGUGUAGGAGUGAAAUCCGUAGAUAUUAGGAGGAAUACCGAUGGCGUAGGCAGGCUACUGGCUCGUCCCUGACACUAAGGCACGAAAGCGUGGGGAGCGACCGGGAUUAGAUACCCCGUUAGUCCACGCCGUAAACGAUGGAUGCUAGCUGUUAUGAGUAUCGACCCUCGUAGUAGCGAAGCUAACGCGUUAAGCAUCCCGCCUGUGGAGUACGAGCGCAAGCUUA
RNAcentral lists this ribosomal RNA (373 nucleotides) under uncultured organism. RNAcentral's name for it is "bacterial SSU rRNA". It matches the Rfam family "Bacterial small subunit ribosomal RNA", at positions 526 to 896 of the family's 1533-position model. The record is from RNAcentral.